RNAcentral lists this long non-coding RNA (476 nucleotides) under Scleropages formosus (Asian bonytongue). RNAcentral describes it as "lncRNA (ENSSFOG00015032182.1)". Lineage: Eukaryota; Metazoa; Chordata; Actinopteri; Osteoglossiformes; Osteoglossidae. The record is from RNAcentral.
CGGGAUCCAUGGACAUGGUUUGGUCUGAGAAACCAGCAGAAUUGUUGAAGGUUCCACAGCAUGGAAAAAACCUUCAGGUCCCUUCCCAAGCAGAGAUGCCUCUGUCUCCCAUAACGGCAGGAGCCUCCUCUUCAGAGAAGCCGAUGGUCAAAGAUCUUGUUUCAGACUCAUAUUCCUCAGAUCGAGAGUUCCCAGGACUGAGUGGACGGCCUGGUUACCUACAAGACUUCUUAAUGCCAGAUGAAAGUGAAAGAGGAGAGGGAGCCCGGUCCAUAAAAAAAGAAAUCAUAUCCAAGAUAAGUACACUUAUUCUACUCAGUUGCUGUUCUCUGUGUCCAUUUUUUAUUUGUCUCCAACAUUUUUUGUUGCCUCCACAUACUGUUCAUGAUUUAAAUCAUCUGAAUAUUCUGCCUUACAGUGAAAAAAAAAUAAUACAUAAUAAGAGAAUAAAUGUUUGCUCACAAGGGACAAAUUGA